RNAcentral lists this ribosomal RNA (324 nucleotides) under uncultured eukaryote. RNAcentral's name for it is "partial 18S ribosomal RNA". It matches the Rfam family "Eukaryotic small subunit ribosomal RNA", at positions 1470 to 1796 of the family's 1831-position model. The record is from RNAcentral.
CCCUUAGAUGUUCUGGGCCGCACGCGCGCUACACUGAUGCAUUCAACGAGUUUCUUCCUGGUCCGAGAGGAAUGGGUAACCUUUUGAAAGUGCAUCGUGAUAGGGAUAGACUAUUGCAAUUAUUGGUCUUCAACGAGGAAUUCCUAGUAGACGUAGUUCAUCAGACUGCAUCGAUUACGUCCCUGCCCUUUGUACACUCCGCCCGUCGCUCCUACCGAUUGAAUGCUCAGGUGAGCCAUUCGGACUUUCAUCAUGCUGGUUUCCAGUUUUGAUGAAGGAAAGUCUUGCGAACCUUAUCAUUUAGAGGAAGGAGAAGUCGUAACA